This 230-nucleotide ribosomal RNA is filed under the name uncultured bacterium. RNAcentral describes it as "partial 16S ribosomal RNA". It matches the Rfam family "Bacterial small subunit ribosomal RNA", at positions 562 to 791 of the family's 1533-position model. The record is from RNAcentral.
AAAGCGUGCGCAGGCGGUUAUAUAAGACAGAUGUGAAAUCCCCGGGCUCAACCUGGGAACUGCAUUUGUGACUGUAUAGCUGGAGUGCGGCAGAGGGGGAUGGAAUUCCGCGUGUAGCAGUGAAAUGCGUAGAUAUGCGGAGGAACACCGAUGGCGAAGGCAAUCCCCUGGACCUGUACUGACGCUCAUGCACGAAAGCGUGGGGAGCAAACAGGAUUAGAUACCCGGGU